AUGGCGGACAAGUCGAGCCGGCCGCUGGUGCUAUAUGCCGCCAGCCACGCGGCGCUGCUCGCCAGGGGCGGAGGGGGGAAGGGCCAGCUCGACGCAUUCGCCUCCUGUGGCUUCCUCCCCGUCCACACCCCCGUGGUCAACGAGGAUGGAGGGGACAGGAACAGCAACUCAAUUCUCGAGCUGGCGCGGCUGCUUGAUGUGUACGAUGCCCUCUACCCUGCCAAGGAUGGGGAAAUUGCCCAGGUGGAUCCACAGGAGCUAGUAGUCCCCAAGCUAUCCGAGAGGUUCGAUUCAGGUUCUGGCAGCAGUUCUAAGGACACUAGAAUAAUCGACCGGGCGUUCACUCUGCUGGGAUUUGCAGAGGGGAAUGUCCAGGAUGCGUCCAAAUUCGAUCUAGUGUUUGUGCAUGCCGCAAUGGAGAACACAGCCAGCAAGCUUGGGAAAUUAGGGAUGAAGACGGAUCUCAACCGGCUUGACAAAUUGGUGGCUUCAGUCAUGGAAGCUGUGCCGGUCGGUUCAGCUGUCGCUGCCCGUAUUCAUGUUUCUGUUAUCUUGAGCUAUGGAUCUGCUACUGCAAAUAAGGAAGAGGCAUGCCUCAUCUUGAACUCUUCAAGCGAAAUUGAUUCCGACUUGAAAUUUAUUGCCCAUAAGCUUGUGCAACGGUUUUAUGACAAAGCCCUUGCGUUUGGUCUAAAGGGCUAUGCAAAGCUAUAA
This 714-nucleotide ribosomal RNA is filed under the name Triticum aestivum (bread wheat). Its description in RNAcentral is "partial small subunit ribosomal RNA". Lineage: Eukaryota; Viridiplantae; Streptophyta; Magnoliopsida; Poales; Poaceae. The record is from RNAcentral.